Oncorhynchus masou masou (cherry salmon) is the source of this 633-nucleotide long non-coding RNA. RefSeq lists it as uncharacterized. The record is from RefSeq and is a predicted model, not a curated record. Lineage: Eukaryota; Metazoa; Chordata; Actinopteri; Salmoniformes; Salmonidae. The transcript is spliced from 3 exons.
GCACUCUCCAUGAUCUAACAGGUUUCAGGAGACAAGGAUUAGUUAGGCAUUGUGUGUAAUCCUUCACAUUUAUUUCCUGUGAUAUUGGUUUUGAGUAGCGCUUUAAAACAAAAGGGUUCUAUGAUGACAGGUAGGGUUAAAAAUUAAACAUUUUUCAUCUGAAGAUAAUGAAUAACCUUGCGAGUAUGAGUUACCAUACCCGGUCUCAGGGAUGGAACAUUCUGGAAACCCCUUCGGUCUCCUCAGAGUUAGCUUUGAGAGAUGGGGGGGGGCCCAAAUCCAAUCUCUGCCAAGGUGCUAUGGGUGAGGUGCCAUGGGUGAGAUUGCUAUUGGCCUGAUAUCAGACAGGCCUACUUCUAUCCCUGCUCAACCCAACUUUAUUUCGGCCUCGGAGGAGACUUGGAUCCCCAGGCAGAGGAUGGUGUGCGCGGAGGGUAGAGUGGAGACAGGCGUCUCUUGAGUUGGAUGUGACCUGAUGCGACGUGCACUUGCAACUGCCUUAAUGGAAGAUCAUUUUUCCACGUCCAGAGCGGUCAAUGUUAACCUUAUUGUUUUGUUUUUCUUCGUUUGUCAGUGGGUUUUGAGAUUAUUUUUUGUAAUGACAAGCACUAUAAAACAAAUUCUAGAUCAUUA